CCCAGAGCCGCCUGAAGGAAGCGGUGCAGCUGCUGGAGGAUUACAAACACGGCACUCUGCCCCCAGGAGUCACCAACAAAGAGGAAUUUCCAUUUCUGCCCCAUGUGAAGGCUCUGGGGGCUGCUCCUGGAGGCUGGAGCAGCACUGGGGAUGUUCCUGCCCUGGGAACGGGAGCAGGAUUUUGUGGGAUCCUCUGGAUGGGCAGCUCCUCGCAGCCUUUGGGGAUCCCUGAGGAAAGGAUGCUCUGGGGACUUUGGGACAGGAUGGUUCGCUGGGUGAGCUCUCCAACCCCACCCCAUCCCUUCUUCUGGAAUUUCUCCUGAUAUUCCUCUGCACGUGGAGCUUGUGGGAGCAGAGAUGAGGAUUUUAGAGGAGCCAAACGGCUUCUGGAAUAUCCUACCUCCAAAUCUGUGCCAUAAAACAAAAACCAUCAAUUUUUGUGGGUGUUACCUCGAGCUCUUCCCCAUUCCUGUCUGGAGAGUCCUGCCCACAAACCAGCCCAGGGCUUCUUUAUGGCUGUGUUGGUGCAUCCAGCACAAAAUGAAUCUGUGUGUGAUUAAAUGUGUGAUUUGAUGCCCUGGAAA
Molecule: non-coding RNA, 584 nt
Organism: Cyanistes caeruleus (blue tit)
Lineage: Eukaryota; Metazoa; Chordata; Aves; Passeriformes; Paridae
Source: RefSeq, a predicted model, not a curated record